CCUCGAAAAUGGCACAUCUAUUGAAAGAUAGGGUCGCAAAGAGUUAAAUCUAAGGCAAGAUCUUUGAUUUUGUUAUGAUUGUUAACUUGUCGAA
RNAcentral lists this non-coding RNA (94 nucleotides) under Selenihalanaerobacter shriftii. RNAcentral's name for it is "c-di-GMP sequence". It matches the Rfam family "c-di-GMP-I riboswitch aptamer". Rfam says of the family: GEMM was predicted in a large-scale screen for bacterial structured RNA regulatory elements. The record is from Rfam by way of RNAcentral. Lineage: Bacteria; Bacillati; Bacillota; Clostridia; Halanaerobiales; Halobacteroidaceae.